UUCCGUAGGUGAACCUGCGGAGGGAUCAUUACACAAUACAAUACGAAGGCCGUUCGCGGCUGGACUAUGUUAUUACCCUUGUCUUUUGCGCACUUGUUGUUUCCUGGGCGAGUUCGCUCGCCACCAGGACCACAAUAUAAACCUUUUUUAUGCAGUUGCAAUCAGCGUCAGUAUAACCAAUGUAAAUCAUUUACAACUUUCAACAACGGAUCUCUUGGUUCUGGCAUCGAUGAAGAACGCAGCGAAAUGCGAUACGUAGUGUGAAUUGCAGAAUUCAGUGAAUCAUCGAAUCUUUGAACGCACAUUGCGCCCUUUGGUAUUCCAAAGGGCAUGCCUGUUCGAGCGUCAUUUGUACCCUCAAGCUUUGCUUGGUGUUGGGCGUUUUUUUGUCUCUGGUUUGCCCAAAGACUCGCCUUAAAACGAUUGGCAGCCGGCCUACUGGUUUCGCAGCGCAGCACAUUUUUGCGCUUGCAAUCAGCAAAAGAGGACGGCAAUCCAUCAAGACUCCUUCUCACGUUUGACCUCGG
RNAcentral lists this ribosomal RNA (527 nucleotides) under Curvularia australiensis. Its description in RNAcentral is "eukaryotic LSU rRNA". The stretch from base 195 to 348 matches the Rfam family "5.8S ribosomal RNA". The record is from RNAcentral. Lineage: Eukaryota; Fungi; Ascomycota; Dothideomycetes; Pleosporales; Pleosporaceae.